This is a long non-coding RNA of Puntigrus tetrazona (Sumatra barb), 2473 nucleotides long. RefSeq lists it as uncharacterized. NCBI's taxonomy places the organism in Eukaryota, Metazoa, Chordata, Actinopteri, Cypriniformes, Cyprinidae. The record is from RefSeq and is a predicted model, not a curated record. The transcript has 2 exons.
UUUUUUUAUAGUUUAUUUUAGUACAUAUAUAUAUCGAAAUAUAUAACAAAAUAUAUAUAACAAAAAUAUUUUAUAUGGUUUUAGUUAAUAUGCUCAAUAACAUACACUGAUUAAUCACGCACAUUAAGCGUAGGAACACAAAUGUGUCAAAUAUGUUUGAUGUUAUUUGAAAACUCUCUCUUACCGUGGAAUUUGAGUGCAUGAAACUACUGCAGUCUGUACCUGUAAGGCUGGUCCACAGCUGUCAUUGCAACAGCUCUCUGGAGCAGGUUGUUUACAAAGAGUGACUCUGUAUGACUCUAUUACUGUAGAUUACUGUAAUGCCGGGCCCAGUACUGAGCCACAGCAUUGAGAAGCACAAACAGACUCUCUCUCUUUCCCUGACAGCAGGAAUGCUUCACAAAACACUGCAAAAGCAUGCUCGUUUGGACUGGCUCCAGGUUUGCUCUCUAUCCAGAGACCAACAGCCAAAGGAACAUGAGGGGAGUUUUCAGGUCAAGAAACCUCUGAAUUCACUGCAAAACACAAUAUUCUUAUUUAGUAUUUUUGUCUUUGCAAUAAGGUUCAUCGGUUAACAACAUUAGUAAACAUGAACAAAGAACAAACGAUACUUUUACAGCAUUUAUUAAUCUUAAUGUAAAUUUUUCCAUGUACUAAUGCGUUAUUAAAAACAAAAGUUGUGUUUGUUAACAUUAGUUAAUGCACUGUGAACUAACAUGAAUAAACAAUACAGUAUUUUCAUUAAAUAACAUUAAUAAAGAUAAAAACAUAAUGUAAUAAAUGCUUUUUUUAUUGUUUGUUGAUGUUAUUUAAUAUAUCAACUCAAACAAUAUGACAACUUAUUGUAAAGUGUUACUGAAUUUUCUCCUCGUCAUGACUCGAAAUAUCAAAAUUAUGUGAAUUUAUGCAUUAAACACAAACUUAAUUUAAAGGGGAAACAAGGUUAUUUCUUGUUUUUAGAAAAAAAAAUAUUUUGAUAAAUAUUAAGACAAGAUUUAAAGGAUUAAAAAUUUAAAUGGACUAAAAAUGACUCACUCUCAGGACAUCUAAGAUAUAGAUGAGUUUUUGUCUUUAUUGCAAUAUAUUUGGAGACAUUUAGCAAUACUUUCCUGCUCAUCAAUAGAUCCUCUGCAGUGAAUGGGUGCCGUCACAAUGAGAGUCCAAAGAGAUGAUGAAAACAUCACAGGGUAGAAGGAUAGAAGACUCACAUUUCAGCCAGAAGAAAUGGUUUUAAAUUAAAAAUGUCUCAACAACGAAUUAGUUUUAUUACAAACGCACAGCUUUUCAUUUCACAUGACUUUAAUUGACGGACUGGAGUCAUGUAGAUAAUUGUGAUGUUUUUAUCAUCUGUUUGGGCUCUCGUUCCGGCGGCACCCAUUCACUGCAGAGGAUCCAUUGGUGAGCAAGUGACGCAACGCUUUGGAUUUCUCCAAAUCUGCUCUGAUUAAGAAACAAACUCGUCCACAUUUCGGACGGGCCUCGGGGUGAGUAAAGUUCAUCACGCGUCAAUAAGAAUAAAUACGUCACACCGAGUUAAGAUUAAAGAUCUUUACUUGAACCGAAAGUACAGUGAAGAAAUAUUCUUGUUCGUCUUGGAAGACAAAAUGUCUGUUUGUGAAACUGGUGUCAUCAACAAUGCAUACAUUAAUGGCCGAUAAUGGACGCGCGGUGGAUUCUGAAGCGUCAUGUACAGUUUGUACAUUGAUGGCCAUUUUAAUCGCAUGACGCUUGCAAAUGCAGCUGACACUUAAGAUCAAGCAUAUCUACGAGAGAACAGAACUACAGAAAUUAUCAUGUAAAAAGCUUUUUUUCUUUUUUUUUUUUAAAAUGAACAUCAUUCAGAAAGCCCAACAGCUUGUUUUCGUCGUCCACGAUAAUGUUACACGCUCCCAGCCUUGGAUCAUCUCGACGUCUCUGUGCUCCUGCCAAAAGAUUCUCUCUCUCACUUUCUCUCUCUCUCUCUCUCACUCUCUCUCUCUCUCUCUCUCUCCCCCGCGCCGUUCUUCAUUGUUCUUCGGAAGAACGGUUAAACCUCCUGAGGGGGAAAUUCGGCGCAGCUGCAGUUUGCGAUGAGAGCGCGUCUGUUGCUUUUGCACACAGCGAGCUCAAUGGAGUGCUGCGUCACGUCGAAGCGCACUGGCAUCUUUGGGCCCUCAACACUCCUCCCUCCUCCCGUUCAUUCCACCCUUUCCCAACAAGCAUACAGAGCAAUGUCAAACCAACAUUUUGUUUGUGCAAAGGCAACAUUUUGUUUAUGAGAAUAUAACAACAAUAAAAACACAAAGUCUCAGCCAAAAAUGAAAAACAAAAAGUACAAUAGUGCAAUUUUUCAGUUUUUUUUUUUGAACCUUCCUCUCCUCCUCGGGAUUGUCCGUGUGGUUUUUCUUAAGGACAGACGGUUAGUGGCGGCUCCGUCUCGUGUUGCUCCUGCCCGAGUUCACUCGGCUCUGCUCACGCAAAAGCAGGUCCCAGC